UGCAGUCGAGGGGUAUUUAUCUUCGGAUAGAGAGACCGGCGCACGGGUGCGUAACGCGUAUGCAAUCUACCUUUUACAGAGGGAUAGCCCAGAGAAAUUUGGAUUAAUACCUCAUAGUAUAUAGACUCGGCAUCGAGAUUAUAUUAAAGUCACAACGGUAAAAGAUGAGCAUGCGUCCCAUUAGCUAGUUGGUAAGGUAACGGCUUACCAAGGCUACGAUGGGUAGGGGUCCUGAGAGGGAGAUCCCCCACACUGGUACUGAGACACGGACCAGACUCCUACGGGAGGCAGCAGUGAGGAAUAUUGGACAAUGGGCGCAAGCCUGAUCCAGCCAUGCCGCGUGCAGGAUGACGGUCCUAUGGAUUGUAAACUGCUUUUAUACGAGAAGAAAUACUGCUACGUGUAGCAGCUUGACGGUAUCGUAAGAAUAAGGAUCGGCUAACUCCGGGCCAGCAGCCGCGGUAAUACGGAGGAUCCAAGC
Molecule: ribosomal RNA, 481 nt
Filed under: Flavobacterium sp.
Lineage: Bacteria; Pseudomonadati; Bacteroidota; Flavobacteriia; Flavobacteriales; Flavobacteriaceae
Description: bacterial SSU rRNA
Rfam family: Bacterial small subunit ribosomal RNA
Source: RNAcentral